GCGGAAUCGACAUCAAGAGAUUUCGG
Molecule: non-coding RNA, 26 nt
Filed under: Cricetulus griseus (Chinese hamster)
Lineage: Eukaryota; Metazoa; Chordata; Mammalia; Rodentia; Cricetidae
Source: RNAcentral